Molecule: long non-coding RNA, 352 nt
Filed under: Androctonus crassicauda
Lineage: Eukaryota; Metazoa; Arthropoda; Arachnida; Scorpiones; Buthidae
Source: RNAcentral
AUUGGAGAUGUGGAAUCUUUUUAUAAUUUUUCAAUUUUUACGCCCUUUUCCAAUCAAGCAGAUUACUAAGUGGUGAGGCCAGUUCUAAUCACAGGCUGCACCCCACCCUGGAAGGAAGCUGGGUGAUAAACGAUGGGGAUCGCCGGGCCGAGCCCAGUAUCCCGAAAAAACUUUUCAGAAGUUACCAAACCUGGAACGAGAAUCCGGGUCGUCCUGCAUGACACGACGACAGCGUUACCAUUCGGCUAUCGGGAAUUGAAUGCAGAUUCUCCAUCGGCCGGAUUGGUAGCGUGGAAACGCUUCGGCUUUCCACUCAGUGGAGUUGGUGACACCCGAUGCUCGAUAUGUCAGA